AACGAACGCUGGCGGCAUGCCUAACACAUGCAAGUCGAACGAGACCUUCGGGUCUAGUGGCGCACGGGUGCGUAACGCGUGGGAACCUGCCCUUAGGUUCGGAAUAACUCUCCGAAAGGGGUGCUAAUACCGGAUAACGUCUUCGGACCAAAGAUUUAUCGUCUUUGGAUGGGCCCGCGUUGGAUUAGCUAGUUGGUAGGGUAAAAGCCUACCAAGGCGACGAUCCAUAGCUGGUCUGAGAGGAUGAUCAGCCACACUGGGACUGAGACACGGCCCAGACUCCUACGGGAGGCAGCAGUGGGGAAUAUUGGACAAUGGGCGAAAGCCUGAUCCAGCAAUGCCGCGUGAGUGAUGAAGGCCUUAGGGUUGUAAAGCUCUUUUACCCGGGAUGAUAAUGACAGUACCGGGAGAAUAAGCGCCGGCUAACUCCGUG
RNAcentral lists this ribosomal RNA (433 nucleotides) under uncultured bacterium. Its description in RNAcentral is "partial 16S ribosomal RNA". It matches the Rfam family "Bacterial small subunit ribosomal RNA", at positions 29 to 507 of the family's 1533-position model. The record is from RNAcentral.